Molecule: long non-coding RNA, 397 nt
Organism: Prosopis cineraria
Lineage: Eukaryota; Viridiplantae; Streptophyta; Magnoliopsida; Fabales; Fabaceae
Exons: 2
Source: RefSeq, a predicted model, not a curated record
AAUGAGAAGCCUAACUCUGUUCGUGGAAGUCAUGGAAGAGAUUCUCAGAGAGUCAAGAGUUUACUCCAAUAGGAUGUACCCACGUGUCCGGGGUGCUUGGUCCAGAAUCAUGGAUUGUAUGCUCUGCACAAAUACAAGGUGAUGAUGAAGAAGCUGCAGAAAUAAUUAAUAUUGAGCUUCCGCCUCCAUCUUUCACAAGUAGACUUACAUCUGAAAGUUUUAAUAUUUUAUUUAUGGAUGAUAAUGAGGGAGAUCUUGAUUAGGAUUGAUGAUGAUGUUUGCCUUCAUCUUAUUUGAACUUUUAAAUUUUUUGUUCAUUUUUUAGAUUAUGUGAGACUUUGGUUUGAUAUAUGUUAAAUUUUAAAAUAUUUUAAAUAAAUUUUAAUGUUAAAUUUUA